AAGUCGUAACAAGGUUUCCGUAGGUGAACCUGCGGAAGGAUCAUUCACAAUAUAUGACAAUACAAUUAACGUUGUAUUGUUGUUCAUUUUUUCACCAAAUCAUAAACAAACCGCGCUAUGUACAACCCUUUAUUUUAAACAACCAAUGCCAAUUUCGGUUGGCGCCUUUAUCGAGCUCGUUCUAUACUUUAAAAGGUUUGAAUGUCAAUGUGAUAGUUAAGUCCUGUGUAUGGUGGAUUCCAUACGGGCGUGUGUAGAAAUACGUAAUAUAAUACAACUCUUUGCAAUGGAUAUCUUGGUUCUC
Molecule: unclassified non-coding RNA, 304 nt
Filed under: fungal sp.
Lineage: Eukaryota; Fungi
Description: partial internal transcribed spacer region
Rfam family: Eukaryotic small subunit ribosomal RNA (bases 1-46)
Source: RNAcentral